This 440-nucleotide ribosomal RNA is filed under the name uncultured bacterium. RNAcentral describes it as "partial 16S ribosomal RNA". It matches the Rfam family "Bacterial small subunit ribosomal RNA", at positions 338 to 795 of the family's 1533-position model. The record is from RNAcentral.
CCUACGGGAGGCAGCAGUGGGGAAUAUUGCACAAUGGGGGAAACCCUGAUGCAGCGACGCCGCGUGAGUGAAGAAGUAUUUCGGUAUGUAAAGCUCUAUCAGCAGGGAAGAAAAUGACGGUACCUGCUUAAGAAGCCCUUGCUAAAUACGUGCCAGCAGCCGCGGUCAUACGUAGGGGGCAAGCGUUUUCCGGAUUUUCUGGGUGUAAAGGGAGCGUAGACGGCAACACAAGUCUGGAGUGAAAUGCCGGGGCUUAACCCCGGAACUGCUUUGGAAACUGUGCAGCUGGAGGGCAGGAGAGGUAAGUGGAAGUCCUGGUGUAGCGGUGAACUGCGUAGAUAUUAGGAGGAACACCAGUGGCGAAGGCGGCUUACUGGACUGUAACUGACGUUGAGGCUCGAAAGCGUGGGGAGCAAACAGGAUUAGAUACCCCUGUAGUC